Molecule: transfer RNA, 101 nt
Filed under: Klebsiella pneumoniae
Lineage: Bacteria; Pseudomonadati; Pseudomonadota; Gammaproteobacteria; Enterobacterales; Enterobacteriaceae
Description: tRNA-Met
Rfam family: tRNA
About the family: Transfer RNA (tRNA) molecules are approximately 80 nucleotides in length.
Source: RNAcentral
CGCGGGGUGGAGCAGCCUGGUAGCUCGUCGGGCUCAUAACCCGAUAGCUCGUCGGGCUCAUAACCCGAAGGUCGUCGGUUCAAAUCCGGCCCCCGCAACCA